This 172-nucleotide ribosomal RNA is filed under the name Pichia inconspicua. Its description in RNAcentral is "[Candida] inconspicua partial 18S ribosomal RNA". It matches the Rfam family "Eukaryotic small subunit ribosomal RNA", at positions 1662 to 1831 of the family's 1831-position model. Lineage: Eukaryota; Fungi; Ascomycota; Pichiomycetes; Pichiales; Pichiaceae. The record is from RNAcentral.
GUACACACCGCCCGUCGCUACUACCGAUUGAAUGGCUUAGUGAGGCUUCAAGAUUGGCGGUGCGGCGGAGGCAACUCUGCCCCGGCGCCGAGAAUUUAGUCAAACUUGGUCAUUUAGAGGUCGUAAAAGUAGUAACAAGGUUUCCGUAGGUGAACCUGCGGAAGGAUCAUUA